UUCACUCUCCAGUACUGGUCUCCCUUAAAGAAGAAGAUCUUGCCGUUGGUCCAGGUGAGAGCUGCAUCUGGAUCUGACGGCACCCCGGAGAAGAGCAUGGAGAGUGGUUUGGGGUAGAUUCCCAGGUACAGGGCUGCGUUGAUGUUCGGAGGGAUCCGUUUCACCUGUUUGGGGUAACCGUCGUCCAGCAUGAACAUGGUAUACCUCCACACUUUAUCACCUGUGACCAGGAGACAAACAUUCACACAGUUGGACUCACAACUGGAGAACAGAAGAAGAGCACACAACCAGGCGUGGUAAAGAAAUAGAUUCACUCGUACUGUAGUACAAUCUUGAGGUACUUGUACUUUACUUGUGUAUUUCUAUGUUAUGCUCCUUUUUCAAAAUAUUUAACUUUGACAUGACUACAUUUAUUUUAAAGCUGUAGUUAAUAGCUGUGAUGCAGAAUCAUAUUAUUAAUACAAAAUAAGACAAAAUAAAUACGAGAGAAUGUAUAAAUAUACUACCGUGCCUUAUAACAAGUAGUUAUAGUGGGGCUAUAAGAUGCAACAUUGAGAGACACAAACAUCAAUAGAUAGAAUCCAGUAACAAUAUGUUGUUCUGAAAUAAGCCAUUCUACAGAAGAAAAACUCUCACUUUUGGCACUCUAAGUAUAUGUGAUGAAAAUAUGUUUUUGUACUUUUAUUCAGAAUUCAGGACUUUUAAUAUAACGGAGUAUUUCUUAAUUGUGCAAUUACUGCAUUUAAUUAAGUUAGAUAUCUGAGUGUUUCUUCUCCCACUGACACUGACACACGACAGAAGCACUGGACAGCUGUACCUUUGAAAAAGUACGUCUUGUUGGUCCUCUGAGAGUGCACCGCAGCGUUCAGGUCUCCAGGCAGGGCCUUCCACAACCUGUUGAUCUGUAUCGGUGUGUUGUGUCCCAGAUCAGAGAUCGUCCAGACGUAGUCACCACUGAAGGCAAACGUUUUCCUCCAUGGACCUGAUCAAACAUUCAGAGAGGGGACAGCAGGGCCAAAAGUAGCUAUGUUUCUACAUUUAGAUAGAAUAGAAAACUGACCACGGCCAUCAAACGGGAAGGGGCAGAAUCCAUCUUUCUUAUGGAAGGAGAUCUUGAUGUCUGCUCUGCCAUAGCUGAUCUCUCUGAAGAUCAAAGCAGCGACAUCACUCCAGUACUUAAAGGCAGAACGGACGGCCAUCUUCACCUCGGUUUUCUUCAUGUCAGGCGUGUAGUUGUAGAUACGGGAUCCUCCAUGCCACAGCGAGGCUGUCUCAUCACACCCACAGUGGCUUCAUCCAACUCUCCAGUAGGUGGCAGAUCAUUCACUCUCUGAAAAACCCUGGAGACAAGAAUGGAUCAAACAUCUGCACACAUCCUGCUCCGGAGCUCCUCUGUAUCUGGGAGGAUCGUUGAUACAUAUCUAACUGAUUCAAAGUACCCGCAUGUGUUUCCUCUUGAAAGGGGAAUAGUUUAUUUUACCUGAGAGCUUCAAUGAUCUCCUCCAGGUAUUGGGGGUCCUGCGGAUCAGCGGGGUUAUUCAGGUAACCAUACUUCAUCAGAUAGGCCUGUUCAAUCAAAGGCAGACAAAAAAGCUCUUAAAAGAAUAAUGUGAACGUAAUAAGGAUGUCAACGUUUGUAAAACAUUUGUAAAUGUGGUUGUUUUGCUGCUGAACAGAAGAACAUUGUAAAACGUUAUGGAUUUAUUAAGGAUGCAGCCACAUUAAGGCACCUAAACCAGAACUGUAGGAUACAGUAAAGUCCUAUUUUAACUUCUUACAGGAUUAUAUAUAAUUCUGUAACCUUAACACCCUUCUCCCCUUUCGUUAUAAAUGCUUUGUUUGCUUUUAUUCACAUGCAUUUUUUUAAUGUGUAUGUAUCAUGGAUGCGUUUGAUUUCCAGACAGUAAAAUAAAGUACAUUUUGAA
This is a long non-coding RNA of Gymnodraco acuticeps, 1925 nucleotides long. RefSeq lists it as uncharacterized. The transcript is spliced from 4 exons. Lineage: Eukaryota; Metazoa; Chordata; Actinopteri; Perciformes; Bathydraconidae. The record is from RefSeq and is a predicted model, not a curated record.